GAAAAAUAGUACCAACAUCAGGUAAAAGAGUCGAACUCCGACAAAUAUCGAAUAUUCGAUAAUAAUCGAACCACACCGAACUUGCUCAGACACACUGAAUUCGCUCAGCCAAAUUGAACAUUUUCGCCCAUUUAAAGUGAAUUCGCUGAGCCACAAAAUUUGAAUGAACUUACAGGUCGAAUGAAAUAUUUGAUGGAUUGGCAAAAGAGGUAAUGGAACGGCGUCUAGCUGCCUUCGUUUGAGGUCUAUUGUUUAUAAUAGACGUGGAAUGUGGCCGCUUGUCAUAUCUUUCAGACGAACCUCGUCGAGAAGAUGGUGAUUUUUGGGCCAACCGAUCACGGCGUAUGCGGCAUUCCGUCUUAAGUUGUUGCAGACGCUGGCCCUGUUUCCGGCGUUCUACAACAAGCAAGCGAUUGGUCAUGCAAUGACGUUGGCAGAUUUUCCGUGCCAAAUCCAAAUCGUUCUCGUCCUUGACGAAUUGACUUUCCUGUAAAAAAUUUGCAUAUGUAAUGACAUUAAUCUUGUAUUGUUUACAAUAAACUCACAAGCUUGUUUUUGUAUUUGUUUAAA
Long non-coding RNA from Drosophila willistoni, 570 nucleotides. RefSeq lists it as uncharacterized. The transcript has 2 exons. The record is from RefSeq and is a predicted model, not a curated record. Lineage: Eukaryota; Metazoa; Arthropoda; Insecta; Diptera; Drosophilidae.